Molecule: ribosomal RNA, 328 nt
Filed under: uncultured eukaryote
Lineage: Eukaryota
Description: partial 18S ribosomal RNA
Rfam family: Eukaryotic small subunit ribosomal RNA
Source: RNAcentral
CCCUUAGAUGUCCUGGGCCGCACGCGCGUUACACUGAUGCAUUCAACGAGCUUAUAACCUUGGCCGAGAGGCCUGGGCAAUCUUGUUAACGUGCAUCGUGAUAGGGAUAGAUUAUUGAAAUUAUUAAUCUUGAACGAGGAAUUCCUAGUAAACGCAGAUCAUCAAUCUGCAUUGAUUACGUCCCUGCCCUUUGUACACACCGCCCGUCGCACCUACCGAUUGGAUGGUCCGGUGAAGCCUCGGGAUUGUGGUUCUCGCCGCUUUAUUGUAGCGUGACCGCGAGAACUUGUCUAAACCUUAUCAUCUAGAGGAAGGUGAAGUCGUAACA